This 253-nucleotide ribosomal RNA is filed under the name uncultured bacterium. RNAcentral's name for it is "partial 16S ribosomal RNA". It matches the Rfam family "Bacterial small subunit ribosomal RNA", at positions 524 to 776 of the family's 1533-position model. The record is from RNAcentral.
UACGAAGGGUGCAAACGUUGCUCGGAAUCAUUGGGCGUAAAGCGCACGUAGGCGGCCUUGUAAGUCGGAUGUGAAAUCCCUCAGCUCAACUGAGGACGUGCAUCCGAAACUGUGAGGCUCGAGUAUGGAAGAGGGUCGCAGAAUUCCCGGUGUAGAGGUGAAAUUCGUAGAUAUCGGGAGGAAUACCAGUGGCGAAGGCGGCGACCUGGGCCAAUACUGACGCUGAGGUGCGAAAGCGUGGGGAGCAAACAGG